UCUUUAUAGUUUAAGAAGCUCGAGUUUGUGGGUGGGUUGAAGAACUGUGAAUUUUUGGAGAAAGUCAAGUCCAGCUUGGUUCUCAGUUUACACUCAAUUUAUACAUUCUUUUCCAUGAGUUGGUGGGUCGACCGGCUUCCUUGUUGUACAGAGAGGAAAAAGUAAGGGUAUUUUAUGCUGUUAGGAUCUUUCUUGGUCUCAUCUCUAUUAUUACUGAAACCAUUCUGGUUUAUGCUUUGUCAAGAAAGUAUGGAAAAUGUCUUGCCUCAUAUACUUGCCAUGCUAUGCUUAACCAGCGGUUGUUUCUUUGCUAGUACAAGUUUCUUGCCAAGUUCGUUCUCUAUGUAUGCUGUGACUGUAGCCUGAAAAGUCCCACUGUUUCAUUUGUCAAACUUCUGAGAAUCUCUUGAUGUGUAUUCUCUGUGUGGCUUUGUUGGUUGUGGGAGGUAAGAAAUUUUUUCUUGAAAAAUUUGUGUUCUCAUUAUCAUCAUGCUAAAACUGAUCUCUCUCUCUCUCUCUCUCUCUCUCUCUCUCUCUCUCUCUCUCUCCCCUCGUGUAUCUACCUUUAUUAUGCUUUUCCAUACUCCUAACAAUUUUGGUGUAGGUAUAAAGAAGGCCAUGCCGCACAAUAUAUAUAUAUAUAUAUAUAUAUAUAUAUAUAUAUAUGACAGUGGAAAGAAACACAAGAUAUUCCCUUGAAGUGGAAAUGCAGUGUGUGGGGAAUUAUGCAGAAGGCAAUUAUGUGAUGUCCUGAACCUCAACACAUGUACAAUGAUGUAUAAACACCAAGAAAAUACAUGAUCAAGUUCUUGCAGGUAAGAAUAGAUAUGACCUUAUGCAUGGAGUGACUUAUAGUUGAACCAGUUGAACAAACUUAUAGAUCGAUCAGAUUAGAUGCUGUUAUGGUUAUCAUGAACUUCAAUAUACUAUUGGUUACAUAAACUUAUGGUCUUCAUGAUUGCUUUAUGGUCAUCAUAAGAUAACUCUUCAUAACACACAGGAAAACUGAAAUGGAAAACAAGAGCUCAAUUUCAUUUAAAUUCUUUUCAAAUUUGUUAUUGAUCAGCAAGAAAUGCAUGCAUAACUGAACAAUAAGUUUUUC
This 1102-nucleotide long non-coding RNA is filed under the name Rosa chinensis. RNAcentral describes it as "sRNA RchiOBHm_Chr3g0478941". The record is from RNAcentral. Lineage: Eukaryota; Viridiplantae; Streptophyta; Magnoliopsida; Rosales; Rosaceae.